This 71-nucleotide transfer RNA is filed under the name Acropyga goeldii. RNAcentral's name for it is "tRNA-Val". The record is from RNAcentral. Lineage: Eukaryota; Metazoa; Arthropoda; Insecta; Hymenoptera; Formicidae.
AAAAUUUUAGUUUAAUAAAUUUAAAAAUGAUUCAUUUACAUUGAAUAGAUUAAUUAUAUAUUAAAAUUUUA